AGUGGGGAUAUUGCACAAUGGGCGCAAGCCUGAUGCAGCAACGCCGCGUGAGGGAUGAAGGCCUUCGGGUUGUAAACCUCUUUUAGCAGGGAAGAAGCGAAAGUGACGGUACCUGCAGAAAAAGCACCGGCUAACUACGUGCCAGCAGCCGCGGUAAUACGUAGGGUGCAAGCGUUGUCCGGAAUUAUUGGGCGUAAAGAGCUCGUAGGCGGUUUGUCGCGUCUGCUGUGAAAACCAGAAGCUCAACUUCUGGCCUGCAGUGGGUACGGGCAAACUAGAGUGCGGUAGGGGAGAACGGAAUUCCUGGUGUAGCGGUGGAAUGCGCAGAUAUCAGGAGGAACACCGAUGGCGAAGGCAGUUCUCUGGGCCGUUACUGACGCUGAGGAGCGAAAGCGUGGGGAGCGAACAGGAUUAGAUACCCUGGUAGUCCACGCCGUAAACGGUGGGUGCUAGCUGUGGGCCACAUUCCACGUGGUCCGUGACGAAGUUAACACAUUAAGCACCCCGCCUGGGGAGUACGGCCGCAAGGCUAAAACUCAAAGGAAUUGACGGGGGCCCGCACAAGCGGCGGAGCAUGCGGAUUAAUUCGAUGCAACGCGAAGAACCUUACCAAGGCUUGACAUAUAGAGGAAAAGUACAGAAAUGUGCUCCCCGUAAGGUCUCUAUACAGGUGGUGCAUGGUUGUCGUCAGCUCGUGUCGUGAGAUGUUGGGUUAAGUCCCGCAACGAGCGCAACCCUCGUCCUAUGUUGCCAGCACGUUAUGGUGGGAACUCAUGGGAUACUGCCGGGGUCAAC
Molecule: ribosomal RNA, 795 nt
Filed under: marine metagenome
Description: bacterial SSU rRNA
Rfam family: Bacterial small subunit ribosomal RNA
Source: RNAcentral